CGCGGCCUAUCAGCUUGUUGGUGGGGUGAUGGCCUACCAAGGCGACGACGGGUAGCCGGCCUGAGAGGGCGACCGGCCACACUGGGACUGAGACACGGCCCAGACUCCUACGGGAGGCAGCAGUGGGGAAUAUCGCACAAUGGGCGGAAGCCUGAUGCAGCGACGCCGCGUGAGGGAUGACGGCCUUCGGGUUGUAAACCUCUUUCACCCAUGACGAAGCGAGAGUGGCGGUAGUGGGAGAAGAAGCGCCGGCCAACUACGUGCCAGCAGCCGCGGUAAGACGUAGGGCGCGAGCGUUGUCCGGAAUUAUUGGGCGUAAAGAGCUCGUAGGCGGCUUGUCGCGUCGGCUGUGAAAUCCCGUGGCUCAACUGCGGGUCUGCAGCCGAUACGGGCAGGCUAGAGUUCGGUAGGGGAGACUGGAAUUCCUGGUGUAGCGGUGAAAUGCGCAGAUAUCAGGAGGAACACCGAUGGCGAAGGCAGGUCUCUGGGCCGAUACUGACGCUGAGGAGCGAAAGCGUGGGGAGCGAACAGGAUUAGAUACCCUGGUAGUCCACGCUGUAAACGUUGGGCGCCAGGUGUGGGGGACCUCUCCGGUUCUCUGUGCCGCAGCUAACGCAUUAAGCGCCCCGCC
Molecule: ribosomal RNA, 631 nt
Filed under: uncultured bacterium
Lineage: Bacteria
Description: bacterial SSU rRNA
Rfam family: Bacterial small subunit ribosomal RNA
Source: RNAcentral